This 486-nucleotide ribosomal RNA is filed under the name uncultured bacterium. RNAcentral's name for it is "partial 16S ribosomal RNA". It matches the Rfam family "Bacterial small subunit ribosomal RNA", at positions 30 to 507 of the family's 1533-position model. The record is from RNAcentral.
AUUGAACGCUGGCGGCAUGCCUUACACAUGCAAGUCGAACGGCAGCACAGGAGCUUGCACCUGGUGGCGAGUGGCAGACGGGUGCGUAUUAGAUCGAAACCUGAACUGACGUGGGGGAUAGCGCGGAGAUAGCCGGACUAAUGCCGCAUACGCUCUACGGAUGAAAGUGGAGGAACUUGGGGUCUGGACCUAGCGCGUUGGCAGAUGGCGGAUUAGCUAGUUGGAGGGGUAAAGGCCUACCAAGGCGACGACCAGUAGCUGGUCUGAGAGGAUGAGCAGCCACACUGGAACUGAGACACGGUCCAGACUCCUACGGGAGGCAGCAGUGGGGAAUUUUGGACAAUGGGCGAAAGCCUGAUCCAGCAAUGCCGCGUGUGUGAAGAAGGCCUUCGGGUUGUAAAGCACUUUUGUCGGGAAAGAAAAGCUGGACUUUAAUACAGCGGUGUUAUGACGGUACCGGAAGAAUAAGCACCGGCUAACUACGUG